UCCCUUGUAGCUCAGUUGGUAAAGAAUCUGCCUGCAAUUCAGGAGACCCAGGUUUGAUUCCUGGGUAGGGAA
Molecule: transfer RNA, 72 nt
Filed under: Bos taurus (domestic cattle)
Lineage: Eukaryota; Metazoa; Chordata; Mammalia; Artiodactyla; Bovidae
Also listed under: 5 other names
Rfam family: tRNA
About the family: Transfer RNA (tRNA) molecules are approximately 80 nucleotides in length. Their secondary structure includes four short double-helical elements and three loops (D, anti-codon, and T loops).
Source: Rfam by way of RNAcentral